GCUCAUCUCACAAGUUCUUUGUGAAGUAGGGUCCCAGGUUGAAGAAUAUGCUAUGGAGGAUUUCUUGCUUAUGUAUCAGGUAUUAUAUAAGCCUCCCAGAGUGAGAGGUGAGACCUUAUUCAUCUGCUUUAAUAGUGCUUAAAGCAUCAGUCACAGGGCUUUAGUCAGGUCUACUACUUGGUUAAGCAUGUGGUCUUCUAGGUUAAGUCUGUGGACUUCUUCCCCCAGACCCACCUGUUUCUCCAGAAGGCAGACUGGUGAAUAAAUGGAAAUAUGGCUUCCUCCCACCCAGAGAACACUGUGUGCAAGACACCAUCCUGGAGGAAGAGAAUAGCCCCACCAGACAAACCUCCUGGAGCCUUGGCCAUAGAAUUCCCAGCCUCCAUAACUUUUAGGAAAAUUCUGUUGACCUAUAAUGAAGUUUACAGAUUUUUCCUCAUAUCUGUCCAGUCUACGGAUUAGAUCUUCAAAGAGAUGAAAUCCCACUAUUUUGCCCAGGCUCAUCUAUAACUUCUGAGCUCAAGACAUCCUCCUGCUUUGACCUUCCAAAGUGCUGGGAUAGGGGUGUGGUGCAAUUCCAUUAGAUGAAAGAGAUCUACACAUUCAGAAGCACAUGAUUCUUCCCCCUUCCAUGAUUCCAGUGGCCAAUAGACAAACUACAAUAAAGCCAUGCCCUGACUGGAUGUGCCUAACAUUUGUCUGGUGCUUAAAGGAGUUGGCUGCAUGCGUGGAAAUGUUGGAAAGUCACCAAAAAUAGUUCUCCAAGUCAGAAGCGGUGCAAAAGCUGCCUCAGCUCUUGGUGGAUUUUCAAUUUCUCCCAGCCAUCUCUGUUUCGCUAAAGGUUUCUGAAGACAGUGGGUAUGUGGCAAACUUCUGCAAUUCUAUAUUAAGAUAAACUGUUAGAUCAAUUAUGUGUGUCAUAUUAUCUUCCUUCUGCAGAGUUUGAGAAUUAUAUUUCUUACCUGUUUGCUUCAGGGACAACUUGUUUGGAAAAAAAAUCACCCAGGGUUAAACAUCAUAUUCUUUAGAACCCAAAAAGCAUUGAUCCAUUUAUAUCCAGCUUCAAAUACCAUGCUAGUAUUCCCAACUUAAGGGCCACCAUAUUGAUGCAUGCUAAUGUGCCAACAGUUUCAUCCACUAUUUUAUUUUAUUUAUUUAUUUAUUUAUUUGAGAUGGAGUUUUGCUCUGGUCACCCAGGCUGGAGUUCAAUGGCAUGAUCUUGGCUCACUGUCACCUCUGCCUGCUGUGUUCAAGUGAUUCUCCAGCCUCAGCCCUCCCGAGUAGCUGGAAUUAUGGGCGCCCACCACCAUGCCUGGCUAAUUUUUGUAUUUUUAGUAGAGACAGGGUUUCGCCAUGUUGGCCAGACUGAUCUCCAACUCCUGACCUCAGAUGAUUCGCUCACCUCGGCCUCCCAAAGUGCUAGAAUUACAGGCAUGAGCCACAGUGCCUGGCCUCACCCACUAAUUUUUAGACACCAUUAGUGUAAGUGUCAUCAAAAUAAAAAAGACAAAUAAUCUAUUAAUAUUAUGUUACUGUAGUUUUGUCCUCACAGACCCUCAGGUAGCUUCUGGGGACCAUCAUGGUCCCACAGACCAUUCUUUGAGAAUUGCUAUCACAGAGAAAAUAAACCUUUGACACAUCAUAACUGCACUCUAAAUAUAGGAUUUGUAUAUGCUGAAGAAUUUCAAUAAAGAUCUGGAACAGCAGC
Molecule: long non-coding RNA, 1708 nt
Filed under: Homo sapiens (human)
Lineage: Eukaryota; Metazoa; Chordata; Mammalia; Primates; Hominidae
Description: HSALNT0063429
Source: RNAcentral